CUGAUAACCGAUAACCCACGAUUAACCCCACCCCUCCUAGCCAUACAGUCUAUAUACCGCCGUCGCCAGCUUACCUUGUGAAAGUAACAAAGUAAGCAAAAUAGUAUAAUACUAAAACGACAGGUCGAGGUGUAACUAAUGAAGGGGNAAAGAUGGGCUACAUUUUCUAACUUAGAAAAAACGGAUACACUAUGAAAACAGAAAUUAAAGGAGGAUUUAGCAGUAAGAUAAGAACAAAAUGCUUACCCGAAACUAACGCAAUGAAGUGCGC
RNAcentral lists this ribosomal RNA (271 nucleotides) under Lycophidion nigromaculatum. RNAcentral's name for it is "partial 12S ribosomal RNA". Lineage: Eukaryota; Metazoa; Chordata; Lepidosauria; Squamata; Lamprophiidae. The record is from RNAcentral.